UGAAUACGAGAUGCUACGGCGUCGAAGCAGUCUAUGUCAUACUUCCAAGAAAAGCUCGCACUGUCAUAAACAAAUAAUGCCUGUACCAUAACCGACACAGGUGGGUAGGUAGAGUAUACUAAGGGGCGCGAGAUAACUCUCUCUAAGGAACUCGGCAAAAUGACUCCGUAACUUCGGGAGAAGGAGUGCCUUAUUUAUAAGGUUGCAAUAACAAGAUCCAAGCAACUGUUUAUCAAAAACACAGGUCUCCGCUAAGUCGUAAGACGAUGUAUGGGGGCUGACGCCUGCCCAGUGCCAGAAGGUUAAAGAAGUUGGUUAGCAUUCGCGAAGCUGAUAACUGAAGCCCUGGUGAACGGCGGCCGUAACAAUAACGGUCCUAAGGUAGCGAAAUUCCUUGUCGGGUAAGUUCCGACCCGCACGAAAGGCGUAAUGAUUUGGAUACUGUCUCGGAGAGGGGCUCGGUGAAAUAGACUUGUCUGUGAAGAUGCGGACUACCUGCACCAGGACAGAAAGACCCUAUGAAGCUUUACUGUAACUUGAGAUUGAAAUUGGACUUUACUUGCGCAGUAUAGGUGGGAGGCGUUGAUAAUAUUCUUGCGGGAUUAUUUGAGCCAUCAGUGAGAUACCACUCUUGUAAUGUUAGAUUUCUAACUUUGUAUCAUUAUCUGGUCAAAGGACAGUUUCAGGCGGGCAGUUUGACUGGGGCGGUCGCCUCCUAAACGGUAACGGAGGCGCACAAAGGUUUCCUCUGAACGGGUAGAAAUCGUAUCUAGAGUGUAAAGGCAUAAGGAAGCUUGACUGUGAGACCUACAAGUCGAGCAGGGACGAAAGUCGGUCUUAGUGAUCUGACGGUGCUGAGUGGAAAGGCCGUCACUCAACGGAUAAAAGUUACUCUAGGAUAACAGGCUGAUCUCCCCCAAGAGUUCACAUCGACGGGGAGGUUUGGCACCUCGAUGUCGGCUCAUCGCAUCCUGGGGCGGUAGUACGUCCCAAGGGUUGGGCUGUUCGCCCAUGAAAGCGGUACGCGAGCUGGGUUCAGAACGUCGUGAGACAGUUCGGUCCAUAUCCGGUGUAGGCGUUAGAAUAUUGAGAGGAGCCUUCUUUAGUACGAGAGGACCGAGAAGGACAUACCUCUGGUGUACCAGUUAUCGUGCCAACGGUAAACGCUGGGUAGCUAUGUAUGGAGUGGAUAACCGCUGGAAGCAUCUAAGUGGGAAGCCCACCUCAAGAUAAGUAUUCUCAC
RNAcentral lists this ribosomal RNA (1243 nucleotides) under metagenome. RNAcentral describes it as "bacterial LSU rRNA". It matches the Rfam family "Bacterial large subunit ribosomal RNA", at positions 1564 to 2817 of the family's 2925-position model. The record is from RNAcentral.